AACCACUUCGGUGGUCAUCCGUAAAAAUUGGAACGAUACAGAGAAGAUUAGCAUGGCCCCUGUGCAAGGAUGACACGCAUAAAUCGAGAAGUAUCGCACUUUUUG
This 105-nucleotide small nuclear RNA is filed under the name Phytophthora infestans T30-4. Lineage: Eukaryota; Oomycota; Peronosporomycetes; Peronosporales; Peronosporaceae. The record is from RNAcentral.